This 402-nucleotide ribosomal RNA is filed under the name Bacteroidota bacterium. RNAcentral's name for it is "Bacteroidetes bacterium partial 16S ribosomal RNA". It matches the Rfam family "Bacterial small subunit ribosomal RNA", at positions 355 to 776 of the family's 1533-position model. The record is from RNAcentral. Lineage: Bacteria; Pseudomonadati; Bacteroidota.
UGGGGAAUUUUGCACAAUGGGGGAAACCCUGAUGCAGCGACGCCGCGUGAUUUAGAAGGCCUUCGGGUUGUAAAAAUCUUUUGUAUAGGAAGAAAAUGACAGUACUAUACGAAUAAGGACCGGCUAAUUACGUGCCAGCAGCCGCGGUAAUACGUAAGGUCCGAGCGUUGUCCGGAAUCAUUGGGCGUAAAGGGUACGUAGGCGGGUAAGCAAGUUAGAAGUGAAAUCCUAUAGCUCAACUAUAGUAAGCUUUUAAAACUGCUCAUCUUGAGGUAUGGAAGGGAAAGUGGAAUUCCUAGUGUAGCGGUGAAAUGCGCAGAUAUUAGGAGGAAUACCGGUGGCGAAGGCGAGUUUCUGGCCAUAACCUGACGCUGAGGUACGAAAGCGUGGGUAGCAAACAGG